This 1117-nucleotide long non-coding RNA is filed under the name Apteryx rowi (Okarito brown kiwi). RNAcentral's name for it is "lncRNA (ENSARWG00000004145.1)". The record is from RNAcentral. Lineage: Eukaryota; Metazoa; Chordata; Aves; Apterygiformes; Apterygidae.
GGCCCGAGAUGGGGCAGUGGAGGGGGAUACUUGCGCUCAGCCACAGAAGGAUAAGUGGUUAGAAAGACAUCUUAGACUACACAUACCCAACAUCCAUGAUAUUGUAGCUGAAUGACUUUUGGAGCUGAUCAGGAACAGAGUAUUUCUUCAGUUCAUCACGCAUGGAAAGCAUUCACUUGAUAUUUUAGGAAUUGUCUCAUAUAUUCCAUCUGGAGAAUCCCUGGGUAAUUUUAUGCUAAAUGGUUGAAUUCCCUCAGGGCAAGAAGUAAGAUGUUUUCAAUUGCUUGAUGAGGAAGAACGGAGUAGAAAGAAGGAAAAAAUUUCCGGAGAAAAGAAGAGAUGGCAAAGCACAGAGCAGUGUUUAAAGAAGCAGAAAAGAAGUUGAAACUGCCAAAAUGGUGUAAGAUACUGAGAACUAAGCUACAUCUUCAUGAAAGUAACAGUGGCAGAAUUUGUUUUUAUGGUAAUAAACCAAGAAUUGAAUUCCUUCCUUGAUUGCUCCAGCUGACCAAUUCAGACCUUGUUAUCUGAAUACGAUGUUUCCAUCUCAAAUAUUCUGAGUAAAUGGGGCUUAGACGCAACUUAAAAUUCUUGGAAGCGAAAAUAUCUUGUUAUUUCCUACAUAGACUACAGAUACUAAUAAUUUAAAUUCAUAAAAAUAUGCAGGUGCUUGUAUGAAAAAGGAGACAUUUUGAUUCCUUGGUCUCUACUUUGCUUAAUUGGAUUUUCCUGAGCAUUUUAAAUCGGCUGAGACUUUUGAUCUACUGAACAUCCAUCGUCACUUCCAAGAGCUUUCACAACAGUACAGAUCUGAAUAUUUCUCUGACAGACAUAUUUUGAAUCUAGUAACAGUUCCUUACUAAGAUAUUUUCAUCAAAAAUGUAAAACCUUAUAAAAAAAUUCAAAUGUUUUGGUUCAGUUGAGGCCCUCAGCUACAAUAAUGUCAUCUCAUGUCCAUACUGUGUGGUGGUGUUUUCAGUUGGGGGCUUUUAAUGCUACAGUGAUAGUGAUUUCAAAGAUUCCAGCUCCUUUUUAGUAGAUAACUACACUAGUCUCGAUUUUGAUCUGUCACCACCUUGCCACAUUAUGAUAUUCCAGGUUUCUUGUUUUGAGUAAA